RNAcentral lists this ribosomal RNA (200 nucleotides) under uncultured bacterium. RNAcentral describes it as "partial 16S ribosomal RNA". It matches the Rfam family "Bacterial small subunit ribosomal RNA", at positions 8 to 209 of the family's 1533-position model. The record is from RNAcentral.
AGAGUUUGAUCAUGGCUCAGAACGAACGUUAGCGGCGCGCUUAACACAUGCAAGUCGUGCGAGAAAGGGGCAACCCCGGUAAAGCGGCGCACGGGUGAGUAACACGUAGGUAAUCUGCCCCCAGGUGGUGGAUAACCUUCCGAAAGGAGGGCUAAUACAGCAUGAGACCACGGGUCCGCGAGGGCCUGAGGUAAAAAGCC